This 513-nucleotide ribosomal RNA is filed under the name Triticum aestivum (bread wheat). RNAcentral's name for it is "partial small subunit ribosomal RNA". Lineage: Eukaryota; Viridiplantae; Streptophyta; Magnoliopsida; Poales; Poaceae. The record is from RNAcentral.
AUGUCAUUUACUGCACUCGUUCUUUUUGAUACUGGUGCAUCGCAUUCAUACAUAUCAAGGGGACUUGUGGAUAAGUAUAAACUGCCAACCCAAGCCCUUAGGUCGCCCACGUUAGUAACCUCGCCAGGAGCAGAAUAUAUGGCUAGUCUAUGGUGUGAUCGGUUACCAUUAAGGAUUGGUAACUACGUGUUUCCCUCGGACCUAAUAGUAUUGGAAUCGCAAGGAUUGGAUGUGAUAUUAGGCAUGUAUUGGUUAUCGAAGUAUGGAGGGAACAUUGAAUGCGCUAGUAAGACGAUUUUGCUCACAACGCCAGAAGGAAGAAGGAUCAAGUAUGUAUCACGGCAUGAGCCGAAGAGGACUCAGGUAAAUUCCUUAUCGGGAGUUGUGCAGGAGGAAGUACCAGUGGUGAAGGAUUUCCCUGAUGUAUUUCCAAAGGAGUUGCCAGGCAUGCCACCGGAUAGAGACAUUGAGUUUUUGAUUGAGCUUUUGGGCAGGCACAAGGCCAAUAUCUAA